GGGGUCGACCAGGUUUCGACGGGAUGAUCCAGAGAUAUAACUUCAAGCCGACUGGUAGUCGUAAAUCACCAAAAGUCAAGUAAUUGACAACUAUGUAAUGCCCCUGGCUGCUUAAGUGCUGCCAGCGUUCCCUCAUGGACUCCGAUAGUGAGAUCGAACGCCGUUUCGGAUAGGUUUCUGCAACAGGUUUGACCGAAUUCAAGCCGGACCACCUCUAGUAGCGGUAUAGCUCAUCCUACAGCUCUGUUGGUCGAGCAACAAGGAUUAUAUAGAUCAACUAAGCUUGUAAACGUGUAUUGAAAGACGUUUCGGACGGGAGUUCGAUUCUCCCCGGCUCCACAC
RNAcentral lists this transfer-messenger RNA (342 nucleotides) under Candidatus Brocadiales bacterium. It matches the Rfam family "transfer-messenger RNA". Rfam says of the family: Bacterial tmRNA, also known as 10Sa RNA or SsrA, is named for its dual tRNA and mRNA-like properties. Its role is to liberate the mRNA from a stalled ribosome. Lineage: Bacteria; Pseudomonadati; Planctomycetota; Candidatus Brocadiia; Candidatus Brocadiales. The record is from RNAcentral.